This 492-nucleotide ribosomal RNA is filed under the name uncultured bacterium. RNAcentral's name for it is "bacterial SSU rRNA". It matches the Rfam family "Bacterial small subunit ribosomal RNA", at positions 28 to 509 of the family's 1533-position model. The record is from RNAcentral.
GAUGAACGCUAGCUACAGGCUUAACACAUGCAAGUCGAGGGGCAGCAUGAGGUCAGCUUGCUGACUUUGAUGGCGACCGGCGCACGGGUGAGUAACGCGUAUCCAACCUGCCCAUAACUAAGGGAUAAUCCGUAGAAAUGCGGUCUAAUACCUUAUGUUGUCCGAGGAAGACAUCUGAUUCGGACGAAAGAUUUAUCGGUUAUGGAUGGGGAUGCGUCUGAUUAGCUUGUUGGCGGGGUAACGGCCCACCAAGGCGACGAUCAGUAGGGGUUCUGAGAGGAAGGUCCCCCACAUUGGAACUGAGACACGGUCCAAACUCCUACGGGAGGCAGCAGUGAGGAAUAUUGGUCAAUGGACGAGAGUCUGAACCAGCCAAGUAGCGUGCAGGAUGACGGCCCUAUGGGUUGUAAACUGCUUUUAUACGGGGAUAAAAGGUGUCACGUGUGACAUUUUGCAGGUACCGUAUGAAUAAGGACCGGCUAAUUCCGUGCC